Long non-coding RNA from Musa acuminata AAA Group (dessert banana), 1049 nucleotides. RefSeq lists it as uncharacterized. The transcript is spliced from 4 exons. The record is from RefSeq and is a predicted model, not a curated record. Lineage: Eukaryota; Viridiplantae; Streptophyta; Magnoliopsida; Zingiberales; Musaceae.
CGAAACAUCUACUGGGGAUGGGGGGCGACGGAGGAGAGGGGCAUGGUGCUCCACGAGGCCGCGGCCGAGGCUGGAGGACGCUGGGCUCAAGGACUGCGCGCCCUUGGGGGGGAUUCCGUAAUGGAGGCCUUCGCCCGAGCCGCCGUCUCCCCACUUCCCACCCGCAUCGGGGAGGACGGCAUCGACGAGGGCCACGGAGAGGCCCUCCGACGAAGACGACGGUGUAUUAGUCCUUGGAUGGGAGGCUUACGAUUUGGAAGGGUAGAAGAACGAGGAGGCUUCCGAUUUCUUCCGAUCUGGAAGAAAUAGAUACCGCCUGAUCUGGCUUCUAAUUCUGUUCGUCGAAAGGUGGAGUUGGUUUUUUAAAACAUGGUCAGGAGGGUGGAACAGCAUAACCAAAUGAGUUCUGAAAGCCUCUGCAAGUAUGAAGCACAGCGGCAAAAACAGCAGUUCGGAUUAUGAAUAGUUCUUGUUUGUCAGUGCGCCCUUACAGAUCUGUUCAAAGAAGUGUCUCACAAGGCUGCAGCUGUUUCUGGUUGUCAGGAUAAGAGGACCACAAGAAUUCAGGGGAUUGGACAACCCAAAAUAUGUGCUCAAGAACUUGGGACUUAAUGUAGAAACGAUGUUGCAUCAAAAUGUGCCACUUGAUGCAUUAUACCUCACCUGAGAAGACCGUCACAUGAAAUGAAAGAGCAACAGGCACAUAAAGCAUCGUGAUGAUGAUUCGAAGCCUUGACCUGAAGCAAGGAACUGGCAUUCGAGGCCAUCUGAUUACCUGGUUGGGUGUGUGUGAUUAAGGUGUGCGGUUAGAGGGACUGAAGCAUGACAAACAAACCAUGCUGCCUUAGCUGAGAUCAGAAACAGUGACUCCUAGGCAUAAUGUGAUAGGCAAUCGUGGGAGAAUUUCAUGGUGUGCUAUGGUCUUUGACUCUCUCUCUCUUUCUUUUUUUUUUUGUGUGUGUUUUUUUAAUGUUUUCAAGUUUUUCUCAUAUGUAAUAUUCACAGGGUGUGCAUUGUCGACACUAAUUUUGCUUUUGACAUUGUUUUUA